Bombus terrestris (buff-tailed bumblebee) is the source of this 1202-nucleotide long non-coding RNA. RefSeq lists it as uncharacterized. NCBI's taxonomy places the organism in Eukaryota, Metazoa, Arthropoda, Insecta, Hymenoptera, Apidae. The transcript is spliced from 3 exons. The record is from RefSeq and is a predicted model, not a curated record.
GAGGUAGUGAAGAAAUUUGGGACAAGAAACUAGAGUUAACUCGCCAUUCAUCGAGAGACAGAAGGGGGACCAACCGCACGCGUCGUUAGAUGUAACAAAUGCAACACGGUCGUGAAGGGCGCACAGAGGGAAGAAGGUAAACGAGCGUCCGAAUGCGUGAGUGUGGCCAGGAAAAAAGGUCGCCAACUUAACGAGGGCUGGACCAGCCGGAACCAGAGAUGAAUUCUUGCAUGCCUUCCAUUGAAACACCCUGCCGGAAAUUACACUUUUUACUUUUCCCCACCUCUGCGAAAUUGAGUGGGUGCCUAGAGCCUGAUGAGAAGCAUCCGCAAGGAAAGCCAACGUGCAACGCGAACUCCGCCCGCUGAAUGUUUAAAUGCACGGCAGGACUUUAUCUCGGAAUUGUACCCAGCAAGGGAUGAAAUCUGCGGCUGCCGGCAGCCAACACCAGCCAGCCGGAAAUCUGCGUGAUUAAGUGCACCCUUCGUUGGACGAUAAUUGCUCUACAAAUACGCGAAAUUUAUUGCGAAUUCACCGCUAGACAGCGGGGACACGUCCCUUUUGCAACCUACCACGAAUUUCCUCGGGACGACUACAUCUGACGGUCAAGCUAAAUAAACGAUUAUCCUUUCUUCAUUUCACUUUACAGCCGAUAAACAGUACCUUGACCAUUUGUAAAUUCUCUUCAAGGAAAGACGUCGUAUCGCCCACGUUAUCGUGCAGGAAACAGUUAAAAAAAAGUUCUCCUAGUUCGAUACGGUAUAUUUUACGGAACACCACGAUUAUUGUUUUUGUGCGGUUUGUUCAAAUCUCUGCAGUUUAUACCGAAUAUUUUUAUUCAAUGAACUAUAUCAAUAUAAAUGAUAUACGAAAAUGUAAAAAUAUCGAGUUGCAACAUACAUUAUACAGGCAGUUAUAAAACUGCUCUUGAAAAUAAUUUGUUGAAAUAUCAAAUGCUGCUUGCAUUGCAAAAAGUUAAUGAUGUAAUAUGAUUCGAUACUGCAGUUACUAUAAAAACAUCCGAAUAAUUCUUGCUCAAAGAUUUAAUUUUUAAUCGAAUAACAAGGAAAGGUAUAAAAAUAAUAUAAAUGAUUUUCCAAUCAUUAUUUCAGCCCGUGCUCGAUAUAAUUUCAUUAAAACUUUCGAGACUUUCAUCUCAGCCUUUUGACAAAUAUUGUGACAGUUAAUGUCUACAAACCUUA